GGUUGAUUUGAGAGAAGCGAGUCGUGGCCUCCGGAUCCACGUUAAAGAGUCGGACCAAUCACAAACGCCAACGUCAAAACCAAUGCCAUGGCACUCGCUGCCUGAUAAAGGCAACGGGUAACGGCCCCACUACCUCAGCCCUUCAGGUAGAGGUGGCCCUCAUUUGAAGGGCUUGCUUGUCGCUAUUACUGGCGUAGGGACCAGGACACUUAGUCAGGUCCGGGUAUUGAAUCUGGUGUCUCUGCCAGUCUCCACCCCGACAAUCCCCUCAGUGACUGCACUCGGAGAAGACUCAAUGAAACGCUGAAGGACGCGGGUUCGAUUCCCGCCACCUCCACAA
RNAcentral lists this transfer-messenger RNA (340 nucleotides) under Actinomycetota bacterium. Its description in RNAcentral is "partial transfer-messenger RNA". It matches the Rfam family "transfer-messenger RNA". From Rfam's summary of the family: Bacterial tmRNA, also known as 10Sa RNA or SsrA, is named for its dual tRNA and mRNA-like properties. Its role is to liberate the mRNA from a stalled ribosome. To accomplish this part of the tmRNA is used as a reading frame that ends in a translation stop signal. The record is from RNAcentral. Lineage: Bacteria; Bacillati; Actinomycetota.